GGUCAAUAGCCUAACGGCUGAACCAGCAACUUGAAGGAAUGUAUAGCGAAAGCUAGUUGUGCUUACAAUUCUAGGUUUUUCUUAAAAAUUUUUAGGAAGAAACAAGAAAAGGGUAGUGCAAUAUUGACUCGAUCAAAUAAAGUUCUAGUUAGAGUUAUGAUGAUGACAUACUCUAGCUAUGUGUCUUGACCAAAUUACGUGCCAGCAGUCGCGGUAAUACGUAAAAGACUAGUGUUAUUCAUCUUUAAUGGGUUUAAAGGGUACCUAGACGGCUAAUAAAGCUCCCAAAGAGUACUAAUUAGCUAGAGUUUGAUGUAAAGAGGCAAUAAAGUACUGAUAGUAUAGAGAUAAAAUUCUACGACACUAUAUAUGGCACUGGUAAUAGCGAAAGCAUCCUCUUAUGUAAUAACUGACGU
Molecule: ribosomal RNA, 416 nt
Filed under: Pyxine petricola
Lineage: Eukaryota; Fungi; Ascomycota; Lecanoromycetes; Caliciales; Caliciaceae
Description: SSU rRNA
Rfam family: Bacterial small subunit ribosomal RNA
Source: RNAcentral